Molecule: ribosomal RNA, 370 nt
Filed under: uncultured organism
Description: bacterial SSU rRNA
Rfam family: Bacterial small subunit ribosomal RNA
Source: RNAcentral
GAGGGGGCAAGCGUUGUUCGGAAUUACUGGGCGUAAAGGGCGCGUAGGCGGCCUGCUAAGUCGAACGUGAAAUCCCCGGGCUCAACCCGGGAACUGCGUCCGAUACUGGCAGGCUUGAAUCCGGGAGAGGGAUGUGGAAUUCCAGGUGUAGCGGUGAAAUGCGUAGAUAUCUGGAGGAACACCGGUGGCGAAGGCGGCAUCCUGGACCGGUAUUGACGCUGAUGCGCGAAAGCCAGGGGAGCAAACGGGAUUAGAUACCCCGGUAGUCCUGGCCCUAAACGAUGAAUGCUUGGUGUGGCGGGUAUCGAUCCCUGCCGUGCCGAAGCUAACGCAUUAAGCAUUCCGCCUGGGGAGUACGGUCGCAAGGCUG